RNAcentral lists this ribosomal RNA (193 nucleotides) under uncultured bacterium. Its description in RNAcentral is "partial 16S ribosomal RNA". It matches the Rfam family "Bacterial small subunit ribosomal RNA", at positions 334 to 525 of the family's 1533-position model. The record is from RNAcentral.
UACUCCUACGGGAGGCAGCAGUAGGGAAUAUUGGUCAAUGGGUGGAAGCCUGAACCAGCCAUGCCGCGUGCAGGAAGACGGCCUUCUGGGUUGUAAACUGCUUUUAUCUGGGGAUAAAAUUCCCUUGCGAGGGAGACUGAAGGUACCAGAUGAAUAAGCCACGGCCAACUACGUGCCAGCAGCCGCGGUAAUA